AAGAGCUCGUAGGCGGUCUGUCGCGUCUGCUGUGAAAACCCGAGGCUCAACCUCGGGCUUGCAGUGGGUACGGGCAGACUAGAGUGCGGUAGGGGAGAUUGGAAUUCCUGGUGUAGCGGUGGAAUGCGCAGAUAUCAGGAGGAACACCGAUGGCGAAGGCAGAUCUCUGGGCCGUAACUGACGCUGAGGAGCGAAAGCGUGGGGAGCAAACAGGCUUAGAUACCCUGGUAGUCCACGCCGUAAACGUUGGGAACUAGAUGUGGGGACCAUUCCACGGUCUCCGUGUCGUAGCUAACGCAUUAAGUUCCCCGCCUGGGGAGUACGGCCGCAAGGCUAAAACUCAAAGGAAUUGACGGGGGCCCGCACAAGCGGCGGAGCAUGCGGAUUAAUUCGAUGCAACGCGAAGAACCUUACCAAGGCUUGACAUGUACGAGAACGCGCUGGAGACAGCGAACUCUUUGGACACUCGUAUACAGGUGGUGCAUGGUUGUCGUCAGCUCGUGUCGUGAGAUGUUGGGUUAAGUCCCGCAACGAGCGCAACCCUCGUCCUAUGUUGCCAGCACGUCAUGGUGGGAACUCAUGGGAUACUGCCGGGGUCAACUCGGAGGAAGGUGGGGAUGAGGUCAAAUCAUCAUGCCCCUUAUGUCUUGGGCUUCACGCAUGCUACAAUGGCCGGUACAAUGGGCUGCGAUACCGCAAGGUGGAGCGAAUCCCAAAAAGCCGGUCUCAGUUCGGAUUGAGGUCUGCAACUCGACCUCAUGAAGUCGGAGUCGCUAGUAAUCGCAGAUCAGCAACGCUGCGGUGAAUACGUUCCCGGGCCUUGUACACACCGCCCGUCAAGUCAUGAAAGUCGGUAACACCCGAAGCCGGUGGCCUAACCUUUUGGAGGGAGCCGUCGAAGGUGGGAUCGGUGAUUAGAC
RNAcentral lists this ribosomal RNA (920 nucleotides) under Agrococcus terreus. RNAcentral's name for it is "bacterial SSU rRNA". It matches the Rfam family "Bacterial small subunit ribosomal RNA", at positions 563 to 1481 of the family's 1533-position model. The record is from RNAcentral. Lineage: Bacteria; Bacillati; Actinomycetota; Actinomycetes; Micrococcales; Microbacteriaceae.